RNAcentral lists this long non-coding RNA (515 nucleotides) under Citrus x clementina. RNAcentral describes it as "Citrus clementina (C. clementina) long non-coding RNA (CCLE_LNC006289)". Lineage: Eukaryota; Viridiplantae; Streptophyta; Magnoliopsida; Sapindales; Rutaceae. The record is from RNAcentral.
CAGCGGAAAAAGGCCACAAAAACGGGUGGGCUAUAGCCUUGGGGGGUGGGGCUGGCCGACUUCGUCCGCCGGACUCGGAAUGCCGCGAGACUUUGCGAGGGGCCUCCGUGUGCAGAAAAUAGGCCGCGGACGAAGCUGCGCCCCAAAAUAACUGCCCGAAGGCCGGGGCGCCAAGUUCGUCCAGCGGAAAAAGGCCACAAAAACGGGUGGGCUAUAGCCUUGGGGGGUGGGGCUGGCCAACUUCGUCCGCCGGACUCGGAAUGCCGCGAGACUUUGCGAGGGGCCUCCGUGUGCAGAAAAUAGGCUGCGGACGAAGCUGCGCCCCAAAGUAACUGCCCGAAGGCCGGGGCGCCAAGUUCGUCCAGCGGAAAAAGGCCACAAAAAAGGGUGGGCUAUAGCCUUGGGGGGUGGGGCUGGCCAACGUCGUCCGCCGGACUCGGAAUGGCGCGAGACUUUGCGAGGCGCCUCCGUGUGCCAAAAAUAGGCCGCGGGCACAGCCGCGCCCAAAAAUAACC